Molecule: ribosomal RNA, 373 nt
Filed under: uncultured bacterium
Lineage: Bacteria
Description: bacterial SSU rRNA
Rfam family: Bacterial small subunit ribosomal RNA
Source: RNAcentral
ACGUAGGGUGCGAGCGUUAAUCGGAAUUACUGGGCGUAAAGCGUGCGCAGGCGGUUUCACAAGCUAGAUGUGAAAGCCCCGGGCUUAACCUGGGAAUGGCAUUUAGGACUGUGGAGCUAGAGUGCGGCAGAGGGAGGUGGAAUUCCACGUGUAGCAGUGAAAUGCGUAGAGAUGUGGAGGAACACCGAUGGCGAAGGCAGCCUCCUGGGCCGACACUGACGCUCAUGCACGAAAGCGUGGGGAGCAAACAGGAUUAGAUACCCUGGUAGUCCACGCCCUAAACUAUGUCAACUGGUUGUUGGGGAAGGUAACUUCCUUAGUAACGAAGCUAACGCGUGAAGUUGACCGCCUGGGGAGUACGGCCGCAAGGUUA